RNAcentral lists this ribosomal RNA (440 nucleotides) under uncultured bacterium. RNAcentral describes it as "bacterial SSU rRNA". It matches the Rfam family "Bacterial small subunit ribosomal RNA", at positions 339 to 796 of the family's 1533-position model. The record is from RNAcentral.
CUACGGGAGGCAGCAGUGGGGAAUCUUAGACAAUGGGGGCAACCCUGAUCUAGCCAUGCCGCGUGAGUGAUGAAGGCCUUCGGGUUGUAAAGCUCUUUCAGCUGGGAAGAUAAUGACGGUACCAGCAGAAGAAGCCCCGGCUAACUCCGUGCCAGCAGCCGCGGUAAUACGGAGGGGGCUAGCGUUGUUCGGAAUUACUGGGCGUAAAGCGCACGUAGGCGGACCAGCAAGUUAGGGGUGAAAUCCCGGGGCUCAACCCCGGAACUGCCCUUAAGACUGUUGAUCUGGAGUUCGAGAGAGGUGAGUGGAAUUCCGAGUGUAGAGGUGAAAUUCGUAGAUAUUCGGAGGAACACCAGUGGCGAAGGCGGCUCACUGGCUCGAUACUGACGCUGAGGUGCGAAAGCGUGGGGAGCAAACAGGAUUAGAAACCCUUGUAGUCC